This 5441-nucleotide long non-coding RNA is filed under the name Solanum lycopersicum (tomato). Its description in RNAcentral is "long non-coding RNA (SLYC_LNC000750)". The record is from RNAcentral. Lineage: Eukaryota; Viridiplantae; Streptophyta; Magnoliopsida; Solanales; Solanaceae.
AAAAAAGAAUGGCCUAAUAUGUGUUACAUAUGCAGGAGGAAAAAUCAAAAAUUUGUUGAAAAUUGUCUGGUGCAGAGGCCUACAGACCCCAUUGACGGUCUGUCUCUUGAUCGACAGAACUUAAAGGACGUAUGCUGAUCGCAGGUAAGCCUUGAAAUAUUUCUAAAUAUCAGCAUGAUCGAUGUUCCAAUCGACGGAUCGUCAACCGAACACAGACCGUCAAUGGUGUCCGUAGAUCCCAAGUAAGCUAUACAAAUUUUCUAUGUCUAAGAGUGAUUGACGGACCUUCGAUCAAUCCAAAGAUCAUAGACGGGGACUCGUGGAUCAAGUUGGCCAGUGAACCGACCCUACCCAGACGGUUAUAUUAAAACCCCAAUCUUUCAAAUUCUUUCCCUCUUUCCAAUUUCUUUCAAACUUUUUUGCAUAAUCGUUUCACCCCAUCAAAUUCCUCCUGAAAUCACUCCCCAAUUGAAUACCACAUCUCCCAAAACCAUAUGUGUACUUAUUUCUCCAAAUCUCAAACAUUCUUUCCCAAAUUCUCUCAUCCUCUAUCCUCCAAAGUCCGGUCAUCGGGUUCGGAAAGCGUCGGCCACUUCUUUAGGUUGUAUAUCACUGUAGGCACACAAUCACAACACUUUUCACUGCUUGUAAGGUAAUUCGAUUUCCCCUCACUUAGAAUUCCCGUUCAUAAAUUAUUAUAGGAAGUCGAGAGUGGGUCUUGGUGUUGGGACUAAAUUGAAUCACUUUGCUUGCUAAAAAUCGCGUAGUAACUUCUCUUAGGAUAUUAGACAAUGGUAGUGUAGCAAUUUAACUACCUAAACCGUUGUGUGGCUAAGUCUUCGUGUACGUUUUGACCUAGGGUUCCAAUUUUUACUCAAUUGGGUUAGAUAUUGGUACGAAAUAGCAACCUCGGGAAUGAGGAAUUAACAUAUUAUGUGUUGAAAAUUAUUUUUAAACUUGAUUGUGUUAAAAUGGGUCACUAAAAUAUUUCGGAAAUUGAACUUGAAACAGGCCUGAAAUCUGUCACAUGUUAAAGUACGAGACAGUUCUAUGAACCGUCAUUCAAUCGAUAGGCCAUCAUUAAACACACUCAAAAAUAAAUUGAUGUGUCAUACGAUAGAUGUGGACUACGGUCCGUUUAUUGAUCGACGGGCCAUUCUGCAGAUCCUUCGUUUCUAUCAAAGAAUCUAUUUUUACCCAAACGAAGGACGAUUUCUACAGACCAUAGAUAACUUUAUGGACCUUUGAUAAAUCUCAUUGAACUAAACUUGCAGUCAAGAUUUGUAUUUUUUUUCUUUUCAUGUUUUAUUCUUUUCGUUGUUAUACAAGUGUGUCGUCAAUCUUCAAGGAUACUAACAAUUACUCAAUAGGUACAAUGACCCCGAAGAUGAAAUUAGUGUACUCAAAGAAAGGCAAAUCCAAGUCAUUUUCCCCGUCUUAUCAAUUGAUCAAUGAAGACAAUGAUACAGAGCAGGACCAAUCCUAUGUUCCUUCUCGUAUGCAAACACCACCAGCAUCAUCCCGAUAACCUAGGAGCAACCUACGGAAGGUGCACCUUGACUUAGUCACUACCUCCCUAAAUGAGGAGCACACAUUGACCAAUUCACAAACAGGGGAUGCGUCCAGUUCAGAGGGGCCUCAAUAUCAAGCUCUGAGUCCGCCAUAACUUCAGGUUCAGGGUUAGCCAGUCUUCAAUGUCCAAGUCGGCCACUAACACUGAUUCCAACUUUCAGGGAGCCACGAGAUCAGGGGGUCAAGAACAACAAGGCAUGUCUGAUGAGGCCACUAGUUUGGAUUUUGCACCUGCACCCUAAACAAAUUACUCCACCCUUGUUGUAGAUGAACUAAACAUGUGAUGUGUGGAUGGGAAAUUAUAGGUAUAUAGAGAUGCAAAGAUGCUCAAUAAGAAAGGGGUGAUGACUCAAUUGAAUAAUGAGGAGCGUAGAGUUCUCACCGGGAUUUUUCAUAUAGUUUUAGAGGUGCAAAGACUCCUUAAUCUCUAAAAAUCCGACUGGAUGGAUCAGGACUUGGACCCAUAUAGUGAGGAGAUUGUUCGGGAGUUCUAUGGCUCUUAUCUUGCUACCCUCCAGGGGUCUAUCCACAACCGGGCCAAACUCACAAAGCAAGACCCUCUCACAUACACCAUCUGUCGAUUCCUAUAUAGUCCCACCACCGGUAUAACAUGGAGCCUCAACAGCGUAGAGUUCGGUUACUGGUGGGAUACAAUAUGAGGAGGAGAUCUUCAGAGAAACGCAGAGAAGAAGGAGGCAGUGAAACUGUGGUUAGCUCAAUAUAUUGUAGUAGCUGGGGAGAUGGCUGACUGGGUUAUAAAUCCCUGAGGGCUCAUAAAAGAGACUACAGUCACUUUUGUGGACAAAUUUUUCUGGAUGUUGGUCCGACACCGAGUAUCACCCACAAAGGCCGACAAUGUACUUACAUGGGAUAGGGCGGAGAUGGUGGCAACACUGGUAGUUGGGCUGGAGAUAAACUUUGCAUGAAAGAUUUUAGUGGAGAUAUGCGAGAGUAAAUUUAAGACCUCAACCACUUACCCCUUUCUGUAUCUUAUCUAUUGGAUAUAGAGGGACGUUGGAGUGCCAAUUUGUCACUGUGACCCACUCCGUCGACUUACCGGGACAUUGGAUAUAAGACUCAUAAAAGAUGAGGAUAAUAUAGCGGCACACCAUAGAGGGCCUCGGAAUGAGGUUCCCCAGUUGUGUGAAAAUUUGGUAGAUAGAGUGGAGCUAGCCCAAGACGCUGAUCCUUCUGUAUAAGAGCAUGAUGACCCCAUUCAGGACUCCUCUUCGGAUGCAGCCAACAAGCCCCCCAGCUCAUCCAGAUCCAUACCACCACCUGCAGCACUGAUCCCUUUAGCUUGAGUCUAAAAGUUGUAGGUGCAGAUUACCACCUUGCUCCAUCAUAAUCAUCCAUGGAUGCAGAUAUCCAUAGCCGAUGCAGAAGACCACAUGUAGAAGCGGGUGGCCAAGCAGGAAAAGCAAUACAUUAAAGAAGUCCACAAAUUCCUUGAUGCAUCCGAGCUACGUGUUAUAGCACGACCAACACCCACCACUGACCUCACUGCCAUACAAAUUGAGUAGGCCAGCUUUCGAGCCAAUGUUGAUACCAUUUUAGAGAUUCAAGGAGCUGAGCCAGAGAUUGGUCGCACUGAACUAGCUGAGGACACUAUGCUUGAAGCCUUAUUCAAGCUACCUGUUGAGACACAAUCCGAGCCACAUGUUUGUAGAACGAGGCACUGCUCCAGCCACAUCACUAAGGUGGAUGAUGAGACCCGUCUAAGAAAGAAGGAGCGGACGGAGAUGGGGCAGUCUAGGAAGUCCUCGCUAAUGGAUGAGGAGAUACGCCUUAAGAAGGCACAAAAGAUAGUUGCUGGGGCAUCCAACUCUAUUCUUGAGAGCGGACCGAGUAGAACUAUUGAUGGUGUUGAGAUAGAGGAGGAUGAAACUACUGAUGGUUCCAUCCUUAGAGAUGUGGGCACUACUAAAGGAAGCACAAUUUCAAAUCCAAUGGGCUCCGAGAGACUAGACCCACCCACUUGUUGAGAGAUCUUCGGUGUUAUACGCCACAUGUUUGUUUCACCUAAUACCACACUGUCACUAAUUUCAUAUAAAUUAGGGACAAUUAAAAAAACAAAUUGUUAGGGGUGGAGUAAAUGGAUUGCAAGUGGUAGAAUAAUGUCUUAGUAGCCCAAGUCAUGAUCCUCUCUUGAGGUUUUCUUGCCCGUUUUCUUUUUCCCCAAAAGACUGCUUAAAUUUCUAUUGGAUCGACAUGUAUUAGUGGGUAGAAGUGUAGAGGCAUGAAAGACAAAAAAAAAUGAUGGCUAAUAAAUAAUGAUACCCGCUCCCAUUGUAAUUUUUGCAUAUAAAGGUUAAGAUAAGUUUAAUGUGUUGGUUCUAAACAUGACAUAAAAAGACACUCACUACAUAACCUUCCACUAAAACCUGAACUGGGAAAUCUUAUAAUCUGACAAUGAAAUGAUGUUCCAAGAGAGUGUGAGGAUAUUCGAGUGUUUAACUGUUGGUGCCUAACUAGAACUUUUCGGGUUAGUACUGCAAAAGGAAUCUACUCAAGUUGACCAAAUAAAAUAACUGUCCCUUAUGAUCCAAAUAUGUCGAGCCUAUAAUAGACCAAUUUUUUUGCUUCACUAACUCUACUUCCCAGGGUCUAUUUUUUUCCCUAGUGUCUCCUUGGACAUAUGCACCUCAACUUAGGCCAAAAUCCUAAGUUUAGGGUCGCUAAUGUAGAAAGUGACCUUAUCUUGGACCUUACCUGACCUCGGGUAUUUUGUACUUCAACCAUAGAAAAGUCAUGAGUUAAUGGUGACUAUUAUGAGAGAAGACCCAAAAAUGGGUAUGAAAAGAGUUGGAUGUUUAAAAUAAAAUCUUAAGUAAGAGAAAUAUGAGACUUGUCAAAAAAUAAAAAAUCUGUUGAAAAACAAAUAAUGAAAGUCACAUCUAAAAAUGGAAAUAAGGCAAAGGAAAGAAGAGAAAACAAAUAGGGGGUCAAAAGCAAUAAAAAAAGGUAAAUAGCUUAGCGGUAAUGUCAAGAAGGUCAGGAAGUCACUUAAUGUACCUAAAUGUACCACACCUGACCCCGAGCCUACAUUACAAUCAAAGAAAGUCCUACCGUGAUCCUAAAGUCUACUGUAGUUAACCUAAGCAGCAAAAAUAAGGGCAAGCCUAUGGCAUGGAGCACUAACAUUAUUUGAACUCAUUCCUGAGUGUGAUGUUGAACAAAGAUCCUUGUACCCAAAAUGCAAUAUCACUAUGUGAAAACUGAGAUUUCUUUUAUAGUGAGGACACUAGUUGCAUUAUGUGAAAGUUGGUACCUUGGUGAGAGGAAAAACAAUAGAGGUGUCUGUUGCAUGGUGAAUUUGUGUCAUGAUGUGAUCUGUAUGUGUCGGCUUAUCGAUCCUUAGAGAAUAGGCCUGCAAUCAAUCAAUAAAGAGUCAAGAUAGAUAGUUAGAUGAUUGCUAGAGCUUAGAGUGUCUACUCCUAUACAAAUAUCGUUUAGGGUCAUGGUGUGUCUCUUGAGGAAAAAUAACGAAUUUGAGUUGAGGGUGUUGAUAUACCAUGAUUUCACGGUAUUUUUAAUUCAUUUCACUUAAGAGUUUUGUGUGUGUAUAUCCAAGUGGUUUUAACAAGUUUUGUGUAUUGUUUGGCAGGAAAGAUGUUCACGCUAAAAAUGGAGAAGAUAAUUGAUAAAAGUGCAGAAAUAGACUUACGGAGGUAAUCGAUAGACCGUAGUUGGUGAUCGUAGAUAGGAAAAUUGGAAAACGAAGAAAAAUCAGGAAAGUCUAAGUAUAGAAUCACGAGAGGAAUCGACGAUCCAUUGACUGAUCGAUAGACUGUACUAGUGAGCUAUCAUUUAAUUCAAUACCUGAUUUUUGAAGAUUCUAAGCAUCGAACAAUGGAUGAGCAUCGACG